RNAcentral lists this transfer RNA (68 nucleotides) under Morone saxatilis (striped sea-bass). RNAcentral's name for it is "transfer RNA-Pro". Lineage: Eukaryota; Metazoa; Chordata; Actinopteri; Moronidae. The record is from RNAcentral.
CAAAGAGAAGGGACUCACACCCCGACCACUCGCUCCCAAAGCCAGCAUUCUGAAUUAAACUACUCUUU